AGUGAACGCUGGCGGUAGGCCUAACACAUGCAAGUCGAACGGCAGCACAGUAAGAGCUGGCUCUUACGGGUGGCGAGUGUCGGACGGGUGAGGAAUACAUCGGAAUCUACUUUUUCGUGGGGGAUAACGUAGGGAAACUUACGCUAAUACCGCAUACGACCUACGGGUGAAAGCAGGGGAUCUUCGGACCUUGCGCGACUGAAUGAGCCGAUGCCGGAUUAGCUAGUUGGCAGGGUAAAGGCCCACCAAGGCGACGAUCCGUAGCUGGUCUGAGAGGAUGAUCAGCCAAACUGGAACUGAGAAACGGUCCAGACUCCUACGGGAGGCAGCAGUGGGGAAUAUUGGACAAUGAGCGCAAGCCUGCUCCGGCCAUACCGCGUGGGUGAAGAAGGCCUUCGGGUUGUAAAGCCCUUUUGUUGGGAAAGAAAAGCAGCAGGUUAAUACCCCGCUGUUCUGACGGUACCCAAAGAAUAAGCACCGGCUAACUUCGUG
This 492-nucleotide ribosomal RNA is filed under the name uncultured bacterium. RNAcentral's name for it is "partial 16S ribosomal RNA". It matches the Rfam family "Bacterial small subunit ribosomal RNA", at positions 29 to 507 of the family's 1533-position model. The record is from RNAcentral.